This 465-nucleotide ribosomal RNA is filed under the name uncultured bacterium. RNAcentral's name for it is "partial 16S ribosomal RNA". It matches the Rfam family "Bacterial small subunit ribosomal RNA", at positions 28 to 507 of the family's 1533-position model. The record is from RNAcentral.
GAUGAACGCUGGCGGCGUGCUUAAUACAUGCAAGUCGAGCGAACAGGCCCCGUUGUGGGGUACCCGAGGGGCGAAGCGGUGAGUAACACAACAGUAGCCUACCCUUGAUAUUGGGAUAACUUCAGGAAACGAAAGCUGAUCCAAGAUCGGAUCUCCUACUGCAUGGCAGGGGUUGGAAAUGUUCGGCGGUUGUGGUUGGACUCGCGGCUUAUCAGCUUGUUGGUCGGGUAGUGGCUAACCAAGGCUUUGACGGGUAGCCGGCCUGGGAGGGUGACCGGCCACAUUGGGCCUGAGAUACGGCCCAGACGCCUACGGGAGGCAGCAGUGGGGAAUAUUGCACAAUGGCGGGAAGCCUGAUGCAGCAACGCCGCGUGCGGGAUGAUGGGCUUCGGGUUGUAAACCGCUUUCGCCUGUGACGAAGAGUGAGUGACGGUAAUGGGUAAAGAAGCACCGGCUAACUACGUG